This 447-nucleotide ribosomal RNA is filed under the name uncultured bacterium. RNAcentral's name for it is "bacterial SSU rRNA". It matches the Rfam family "Bacterial small subunit ribosomal RNA", at positions 355 to 825 of the family's 1533-position model. The record is from RNAcentral.
UCGGGAAUUUUGGGCAAUGGGCGAAAGCCUGACCCAGCAACGCCGCGUGAAGGAUGAAGUAUUUCGGUAUGUAAACUUCGAGAGAAUAGGAAGAAUAAAUGACGGUACUAUUUAUAAGGUCCGGCUAACUACGUGCCAGCAGCCGCGGUAAUACGUAGGGACCAAGCGUUGUUCGGAUUUACUGGGCGUAAAGGGCGCGUAGGCGGCAAUUCAAGUCAUCUGUGAAAUCUCCGGGCUUAACUCGGAACGGUCAGAUGAUACUGCUUUGCUAGAGUGCAGAAGGGGCAAUCGGAAUUCUUGGUGUAGCGGUGAAAUGCGUAGAUAUCAAGAGGAACACCUGAGGUGAAGACGGGUUGCUGGGCUGACACUGACGCUGAGGCGCGAAAGCCAGGGGAGCAAACGGGAUUAGAUACCCCAGUAGUCCCUGAGCGGGCUGGCAAGGCGCAU